Molecule: non-coding RNA, 72 nt
Organism: Bubalus bubalis (water buffalo)
Lineage: Eukaryota; Metazoa; Chordata; Mammalia; Artiodactyla; Bovidae
Source: the annotation of a RefSeq genome assembly
GGGGAUGUAGCUCAGUGGUAGAACAUAUGCUUCACAUGUAUGAGGCCCCAGGUUCGAUCCCUGCCAUCUCCA